GGCCUAUCAGCUUGUUGGCGGGGUAACGGCCCACCAAGGCGACGACGGGUAGCCGGCCUGAGAGGGCGACCGGCCACACUGGGACUGAGACACGGCCCAGACUCCUACGGGAGGCAGCAGUGGGGAAUAUUGCGCAAUGGGCGAAAGCCUGACGCAGCGACGCCGCGUGGGGGAUGAAGGCCUUCGGGUUGUAAACCCCUUUCACCAGGAGCGAAUCAAGACGGUACCUGGGGAAGAAGCGCCGGCUAACUACGUGCCAGCAGCCGCGGUAAUACGUAGGGCGCAAGCGUUGUCCGGAAUUAUUGGGCGUAAAGAGCUCGUAGGCGGCCUGUCGCGUCCGCUGUGAAAUCCUGGGGCUUAACCCCGGGCCUGCAGUGGAUACGGGCUGGCUAGAGGCAGGCAGGGGAGAACGGAAUUCCCGGUGUAGCGGUGAAAUGCGCAGAUAUCGGGAGGAACACCGGUGGCGAAGGCGGUUCUCUGGGCCUGUUCUGACGCUGAGGAGCGAAAGCGUGGGGAGCA
This 519-nucleotide ribosomal RNA is filed under the name uncultured bacterium. Its description in RNAcentral is "bacterial SSU rRNA". It matches the Rfam family "Bacterial small subunit ribosomal RNA", at positions 235 to 770 of the family's 1533-position model. The record is from RNAcentral.